AUGGAAGCAACGACAUGGACUUGCUCUGAAGUGUUGCACUGCAAAAAUGGCCAACUAGACUUACUCUGUUACAAAAAGGUGCGACACAGUUUUGAUGCAAAAAUGCUCCAAGGCCAAGAAAUGGCGUUAUGCACUAGAACUGGAGAUUUGUUGCUCCUUCCGAAUCAAAGAUGGCACUAUUUAUGCUGUGAUUGCUCCUGUGAUCUUACCAAUGCUUCGGUCAUUUUGUGGGUCGACUACCCUGCCGAUGAAGUGCAAAAGUCAGUGGAUCCCAGGAGCAUCACCAUGACUUCUUCUGACCUUCAGCCGCAAAAGAUUCUACUGGUGCUAGUAAUCAGCAAGAGAGCGCCGGCCAUGAGUGGUACAACGUCAUUUACAUGGUACAAUAAAGAUCAUUUUCAAGAAGGGAGGGGUGUCAUUGCCGUCGCCAUCGUCUCCGCGCAAGGCUUCGUCAGCCAUAGGACCUACUUCGGCUUCGACUGUGACGGCUACUUCUCCGUCGCCUUCUUCACCAAGGUUUUCAACAACCACAGCAACUACUUCAACCGGGUCUCAGUCGGCCAUGACUACUACUACCCCAGCUCCAACUGCUUCUCCAAGCUCCUUCAAGUCCAACCCAACUAUGGCUGCUACCGCGACAACCACCAUGGCGACCCCGGCACGAUCAAGGAUCUUCAAGUUCCAUGGGAUCCUGGCGAACUCUUCGUGCUAGCAGCUUGGGGGCAAGCCGCAUUUCAAGAAGGGAAGGAUGUCAGGGGCCUUAUAUCUCCUCCAUGUCAUGUGGGCUGGUCCUUUGGGCCUCCGGGUGGGGCCUGGCCCAUGUCACGAUCAGGGGCAGCUAACUACAAGUAUACUGCAGGAGGCUACGAGGAGAUCAUCCAGUGGAUCAACGAACCGGCGGCGGCGGCUACCUCUCUCCCCUAUCUCCCUCCUUUUCCUUUCCUCCAGUUCAUGUGUUCUUCCUCCAUUAGUGUAACCAUUCCUCUGUAA
This 990-nucleotide ribosomal RNA is filed under the name Triticum aestivum (bread wheat). Its description in RNAcentral is "partial small subunit ribosomal RNA". The record is from RNAcentral. Lineage: Eukaryota; Viridiplantae; Streptophyta; Magnoliopsida; Poales; Poaceae.